RNAcentral lists this ribosomal RNA (467 nucleotides) under uncultured bacterium. RNAcentral describes it as "partial 16S ribosomal RNA". It matches the Rfam family "Bacterial small subunit ribosomal RNA", at positions 28 to 507 of the family's 1533-position model. The record is from RNAcentral.
GACGAACGCUGGCGGCGUGCUUAACACAUGCAAGUCGAACGGAAAGGCCCUGCUUUUGUGGGGUGCUCGAGUGGCGAACGGGUGAGUAACACGUGAGUAACCUGCCCUUGACUUUGGGGUAACUUCAGGAAACUGGGGCUAAUACCGGAUAGGAGCUCCUGCUGCAUGGUGGGGGUUGGAAAGUUUCGGCGGUUGGGGAUGGACUCGCGGCUUAUCAGCUUGUUGGUGGGGUAGUGGCUUACCAAGGCUUUGACGGGUAGCCGGCCUGAGAGGGUGACCGGCCACAUUGGGACUGAGAUACGGCCCAGACUCCUACGGGAGGCAACAGUGGGGAAUAUUGCACAAUGGGCGGAAGCCUGAUGCAGCAACGCCGCGUGCGGGAUGACGGCCUUCGGGUUGUAAACCGCUUUCGCCUGUGACGAAGCGUGAGUGACGGUAAUGGUAAAGAAGCACCGGCUAACUACGUG